GACGAACGCUGGCGGCGUGCUUAACACAUGCAAGUCGAACGGAAAGGCCCUGCUUUUGUGGGGUGCUCGAGUGGCGAACGGGUGAGUAACACGUGAGUAACCUGCCCUUGACUUUGGGAUAACUUCAGGAAACUGGGGCUAAUACCGGAUAGGAGCUCCCGCUGCAUGGUGGGGGUUGGAAAGUUUCGGCGGUUGGGGAUGGACGCGCGGCUUAUCAGCUUGCUGGUGGGGUAGUGGCUUACCAAGGCUUUGACGGGUAGCCCGCCUGAGAGGGUGACCGGCCACAUUGGGACUGAGAUACGGCCCAGACUCCUACGGUAGGCAGCAGUGGCGAAUAUUGCACAAUGGGCGGAAGCCUGAUGCAGCAACGCCGCGUUCGUGAUGACGGCCUUCGGGUUGUAAACCGCUUUCGCCUGUGACGAAGCGUGAGUGACGGUAAUGGGUAAAGAAGCACCGGCUAACUACGUG
This 468-nucleotide ribosomal RNA is filed under the name uncultured bacterium. Its description in RNAcentral is "partial 16S ribosomal RNA". It matches the Rfam family "Bacterial small subunit ribosomal RNA", at positions 28 to 507 of the family's 1533-position model. The record is from RNAcentral.